RNAcentral lists this ribosomal RNA (1458 nucleotides) under Streptomyces sp. TD-070. RNAcentral's name for it is "bacterial SSU rRNA". It matches the Rfam family "Bacterial small subunit ribosomal RNA". The record is from RNAcentral. Lineage: Bacteria; Bacillati; Actinomycetota; Actinomycetes; Kitasatosporales; Streptomycetaceae.
CCUUCGGCUUCUACCAUGCAGUCGAACGAUCAACCCUUCGGUGGGGAUUACAGCCGAACGCGUGAGUACCACGUGCCCAAUCUGCCCCGCACUCUGAUACAAACCCUGUAAACGACGUCUAUUACCGGAUUUUGAUCCUCGCAGGCAUCUGCUAGGUUCGAAAGCUCCGGCGGUGCAGGAUGAGCCCGCGCCCUAUCAGCUUGUUGGUGAACUAACGGCUCACCAAGGCGACGACGGGUAGCCGGCCUGAGAGGGCGACCGCUCAUCCUGGGACUGAGACACGGCCCACACCCAUUUGGGAGGCGGCAGUGGGGAAUAUUGCACAAUGGGCGAAAGCCUGAUGCAGCGACGCCCCGUGAGGGAUGACGGCCUUCGGGUUGUAAACCUCUUUCAGCAGGGAAGAAGCGAAAGUGACGGUACCUGCAGAAGAAGCGCCGGCUAACUACGUGCCAGCAGCCGCGGUAAUACGUAGGGGCGCAAGCGUUGUCCGGAAUUAUUGGUGCGUAAAGAGCUCGUAGGCGGCUUGGUCACGUCGGUUGUGAAAGCCCGGGGCUUAACCCCGGGUCUGCAGUCGAUACGGGCAGGCUAGAGUUCGGUAGGGGAGAUCGGAAUUCCUGGUGUAGCGGUGAAAUGCGCAGAUAUCAGGAGGAACACCGGUGGCGAAGGCGGAUCUCUGGGCCGAUACUGACGCUGAGGAGCGAAAGCGUGGGGAGCGAACAGGAUUAGAUACCCUGGUAGUCCACGCCGUAAACGGUGGGCACUAGGUGUGGGCAACAUUCCACGUUGUCCGUGCCGCAGCUAACGCAUUAAGUGCCCCGCCUGGGGAGUACGGCCGCAAGGCUAAAACUCAAAGGAAUUGACGGGGGCCCGCACAAGCGGCGGAGCAUGUGGCUUAAUUCGACGCAACGCGAAGAACCUUACCAAGGCUUGACAUACACCGGAAAACCCUGGAGACAGGGUCCCCCUUGUGGUCGGUGUACAGGUGGUGCAUGGCUGUCGUCAGCUCGUGUCGUGAGAUGUUGGGUUAAGUCCCGCAACGAGCGCAACCCUUGUCCCGUGUUGCCAGCAGGCCCUUGUGGUGCUGGGGAGUCACGGGAGACCGCCGGGGUCAACUCGGAGGAAGGUGGGGAGGACGUCAAGUCAUCAUGCCCCUUAUGUCUUGGGAUGCACACGUGCUACAAUGGCCGGUACAAUGAGCUGGGAUACCGCGAGGUGGAGCGAAUCUCAAAAAGCCGGUCUCAGUUAGGAUUGGGGUCUGCUACUAGACCCCAUGAAGUAGGAGUCGCUAGUAAUCGCAGAUCAGCAUUGAUGCGGUGAAUACGUUCCCGGGCCUUGUACACCCCGCCCGCCACGUCACCAAAGUCGGUAACACCCGAAAGGAGGUGAUCCAACCGCAGGUUCCCCUACGGCUACGGUUGGCGACGCGACCUGCAGUCGCUAUAACCUCGGGUCGGGGCC